RNAcentral lists this small nuclear RNA (107 nucleotides) under Myotis brandtii (Brandt's bat). The record is from RNAcentral. Lineage: Eukaryota; Metazoa; Chordata; Mammalia; Chiroptera; Vespertilionidae.
GUGCUGGCUUCAACAGCACAUAUACUAAAAUUGGAACGAUACAGAGAAGAUUAGCAUGGCCCCUGCGCAAGAAUGACAUGCAAAUUCGUGAAGCGUUCCACAUUUAA